Molecule: non-coding RNA, 658 nt
Organism: Lactuca sativa (garden lettuce)
Lineage: Eukaryota; Viridiplantae; Streptophyta; Magnoliopsida; Asterales; Asteraceae
Source: RefSeq, a predicted model, not a curated record
CAAAGAUUUCUUCCUUUCCAUCACACCUCUGGUGGCUUUCCCACGCCACCACCACCUCCGGUGUCGCCACCAACCACCACGAUCUACCUCCGGCGGAAACAACGUCAACCACCGCAAGCGUACCACUCUUACGACGUUGCUCUGGUGACACAUCUCCAUCCGCCUUUUUUUUUUCUCAAUCUCCUUGAAACACCACCAAAAUUGUUCAGAUCUGGUGCACCACCACCUCCGCCUACCAUUGAUACGUGUCUUCGACCUCCAAAAGCUUUCGUAUUCAUCAGAUUUGUGUUGAUUCUUUAUAAAUCUAUGAUCUCCAGCUGUAGAUCUAUGAUCUUUGACGACAUAUCUCUGAUUUUCGCUUAGAAAUCUAUGAUUUACACCUCCAGAUCUGUUAGAUCUGGUGUGUGUAUGAUGUUUACAUUGAUUGUGUUUACAAAGGGAGUUCUGAUAAAAAGAUGCACACAAGGUGUUUGAUGAAAUGCCUCAAUGAAAUUUGAUCUAAUUUAGAAGAAAAUAAUGGUUGCGAUGCUGGUAUAGGUGGUUGGUGGCAGCGUGUGGUGGUGGUAGUAGUAGGGAUUGAAAUUUUGAUUUCUUUAAGUUUGUGAAUUAGUAUAAAAUGGUUUGUAUUAAAUUGUGAAUUUUGUGAAUUAAAUUACGA